UUCUGGUUGAUCCUGCCAGACCUGACUGCUAUCGGAUUGAUACUAAGCCAUGCGAGUCGUUGUAGCAAUACAAGGCAUACGGCUCAGUAACGCGUAGUCAACCUAACCUAUGGACGGGAAUAACCUCGGGAAACUGAGAAUAAUGCCCGAUAGAACAUUAUGCCUGGAAUGGUUUAUGUUCCAAAUGAUUUAUCGCCAUAGGAUGGGACUGCGGCCUAUCAGUUUGUUGGUGAGGUAAUGGCCCACCAAGACUAUUACAGGUACGGGCUCUGAGAGGAGUAGCCCGGAGAUGGGUACUGAGACACGGACCCAGGCCCUAUGGGGCGCAGCAGGCGAGAAAACUUUGCAAUGUGCGAAAGCACGACAAGGUUAAUCCGAGUGAUUUCUGCUAAAGAGAUCUUUUGUUAGUCCUAGAAACACUAACGAAUAAGGGGUGGGCAAGUUCUGGUGUCAGCCGCCGCGGUAAAACCAGCACCUCAAGUGGUCAGGAUGAUUAUUGGGCCUAAAGCAUCCGUAGCCGGCUCUGUAAGUUUUCGGUUAAAUCUGUACGCUCAACGUACAGGCUGCCGGAAAUACUGCAGAACUAGGGAGUGGGAGAGGUAGACGGUACUCGGUAGGAAGUGGUAAAAUGCUUUGAUCUAUCGAUGACCACCUGUGGCGAAGGCGGUCUACCAGAACAUGUCCGACGGUGAGGGAUGAAAGCUGGGGGAGCAAACCGGAUUAGAUACCCGGGUAGUCCCAGCUGUAAACUAUGCAAACUCAGUGAUGCAUUGGCUUGUGGCCAAUGCAGUGCUGCAGGGAAGCCGUUAAGUUUGCCGCCUGGGAAGUACGUACGCAAGUAUGAAACUUAAAGGAAUUGGCGGGGGAGCACCACAAGGGGUGAAGCCUGCGGUUCAAUUGGAUUCAACGCCGGA
RNAcentral lists this ribosomal RNA (914 nucleotides) under uncultured archaeon. RNAcentral describes it as "bacterial SSU rRNA". It matches the Rfam family "Archaeal small subunit ribosomal RNA", at positions 1 to 922 of the family's 1478-position model. The record is from RNAcentral.